GUACACUCCUACGGGAGGCAGCAGUAGGGAAUCUUCGGCAAUGGGGGCAACCCUGACCGAGCAACGCCGCGUGAGUGAAGAAGGUUUUCGGAUCGUAAAGCUCUGUUGUAAGUCAAGAACGAGUGUGAGAGUGGAAAGUUCACACUGUGACGGUAGCUUACCAGAAAGGGACGGCUAACUACGUGCCAGCAGCCGCGGUAAUACGUAGGUCCCGAGCGUUGUCCGGAUUUAUUGGGCGUAAAGCGAGCGCAGGCGGUUUGAUAAGUCUGAAGUUAAAGGCUGUGGCGCAACCAUAGUUCGCUUUGGAAACUGUCAAACUUGAGUGCAGAAGGGGAGAGUGGAAUUCCAUGUGUAGCGGUGAAAUGCGUAGAUAUAUGGAGGAACACCGGUGGCGAAAGCGGCUCUCUGGUCUGUAACUGACGCUGAGGCUCGAAAGCGUGGGGAGCGAACAGGAUUAGAUACCCUGGUAGUCCCAUG
This 477-nucleotide ribosomal RNA is filed under the name uncultured organism. RNAcentral describes it as "partial 16S ribosomal RNA". It matches the Rfam family "Bacterial small subunit ribosomal RNA", at positions 331 to 799 of the family's 1533-position model. The record is from RNAcentral.